UAGGAUUUGGAUUAAGAUUUGGUUAGGGUUUUGUUUAGGGUUUAGGGUUUGGUUUAGGAUUUGAUUAGGAUUUGAUUUAGAAUUUAGGAUUUUUAUUAGGAUUUGAUUAGGGUUUGGUUUAGGAUUUAAGGUUUGUAUUAGGAUUUAGUUAGGAUUUUAUUUAGGAUUUGAAAUAGGAUUUGUUUAGAAUUUGAUUUAGGAUUUAGGAUUUAGAGAUUUGAUUUAGAGUUUGGUUAGGAUUUGAUUUAAGGUUUGGUUUAGGAUUUGGUUGAAAAUUGAUUUAAGAUUUGUUUAGGGUAUGAUUCAGGGUUUAGGAUUUUAUUAGGAUUUAAGAUUUGUUUAGGAUAUGAUUCAGGGUCUAGGAUUUUAUUAGGAUUUAAGAUUCAAUUAAUUUUGGCCUAAAGUUUGAAUGAAGUUCAAUAGGAUUUUAACUAGAAUUAAAUUAAGAUUGAAUUGAGAUGUAUUUGAGUGAUAUUUGUGAUCCUUCUAAUAUUUCUUUAAGAAUUCUUAUUUUUUGUUUGAAAUUUCUUUGAGGUUUUUUUGAAUUUGAUUAAGCUUGCUUAGCAUUAUUAUGAGCUAAUUAGAGUAUUGUUAGUAUUCUAUUAGAAUUAAGAUUUUAUUAUUGUAAUUUCCAUUCUUCUUUCCACAGCCAGGUAUCCAAAGCAUUCUCAAGCAAG
Molecule: long non-coding RNA, 677 nt
Filed under: Physcomitrium patens
Lineage: Eukaryota; Viridiplantae; Streptophyta; Bryopsida; Funariales; Funariaceae
Description: long non-coding RNA (PPAT_LNC012964)
Source: RNAcentral